This 564-nucleotide small RNA is filed under the name Pongo abelii (Sumatran orangutan). RNAcentral describes it as "processed transcript". Lineage: Eukaryota; Metazoa; Chordata; Mammalia; Primates; Hominidae. The record is from RNAcentral.
ACUGCCGUCGCGUCGCAGUUACUAAGGCGUGGGGAAGAUAGCGGCAGGCACCACAGUGGAGCGGCUCCGAGAUCCCCGGGAGGCUCGCAGGCGCGCAUCCCUCCUGACUGGGACGUCGCCUCCGCAGACCCCUCGGAGGCUGAAGCGACGCCGGAGGCAGGUCAAGGACACUGGUUAGUGGUUCAGAAAGGUAACCUCAAGAAGAAGCCCAAGGGUUUGGUUGGAGCACAAGCUGAACGUCAGGAAAGCCUGAAGGCGACUUCUUUUGAGUUCAAGGGGAAGAAAGGGUCUCGGCGGGAAAAUCAGGUGGACCUUCCUGGACGUAUCCUGGACCAGGCUUUUCUGCUGAAGCACCACUGUGUGAGGAAGCCAUCAGAUCUGUGCACCAUUAAUGCCAAGGAAAAUGACUUCAAGCAUUUUCAUUCUGUGAUUUAUAUCAAUGCCUCAGAAAACCUGCUGCCUCUAGAGGCAUUUCACACGUUUCCAGCCCUAAAGGAACUGGAUCUCGCAUUUAAUGGCAUCAAAACUAUCUACGUGAAAUAUGGAGACUUUAAGUUAUUAGAA